This 987-nucleotide ribosomal RNA is filed under the name Arthrobacter sp. RNAcentral's name for it is "bacterial SSU rRNA". It matches the Rfam family "Bacterial small subunit ribosomal RNA", at positions 430 to 1427 of the family's 1533-position model. Lineage: Bacteria; Bacillati; Actinomycetota; Actinomycetes; Micrococcales; Micrococcaceae. The record is from RNAcentral.
CCUCUUUCAGUAGGGAAGAAGCGAAAGUGACGGUACCUGCAGAAGAAGCGCCGGCUAACUACGUGCCAGCAGCCGCGGUAAUACGUAGGGCGCAAGCGUUAUCCGGAAUUAUUGGGCGUAAAGAGCUCGUAGGCGGUUUGUCGCGUCUGCCGUGAAAGUCCGGGGCUCAACUCCGGAUCUGCGGUGGGUACGGGCAGACUAGAGUGAUGUAGGGGAGACUGGAAUUCCUGGUGUAGCGGUGAAAUGCGCAGAUAUCAGGAGGAACACCGAUGGCGAAGGCAGGUCUCUGGGCAUUAACUGACGCUGAGGAGCGAAAGCAUGGGGAGCGAACAGGAUUAGAUACCCUGGUAGUCCAUGCCGUAAACGUUGGGCACUAGGUGUGGGGGACAUUCCACGUUUUCCGCGCCGUAGCUAACGCAUUAAGUGCCCCGCCUGGGGAGUACGGCCGCAAGGCUAAAACUCAAAGGAAUUGACGGGGGCCCGCACAAGCGGCGGAGCAUGCGGAUUAAUUCGAUGCAACGCGAAGAACCUUACCAAGGCUUGACAUGAACCGGAAACACCUGGAAACAGGUGCCCCGCUUGCGGUCGGUUUACAGGUGGUGCAUGGUUGUCGUCAGCUCGUGUCGUGAGAUGUUGGGUUAAGUCCCGCAACGAGCGCAACCCUCGUUCUAUGUUGCCAGCGCGUUAUGGCGGGGACUCAUAGGAGACUGCCGGGGUCAACUCGGAGGAAGGUGGGGACGACGUCAAAUCAUCAUGCCCCUUAUGUCUUGGGCUUCACGCAUGCUACAAUGGCCGGUACAAAGGGUUGCGAUACUGUGAGGUGGAGCUAAUCCCAAAAAGCCGGUCUCAGUUCGGAUUGGGGUCUGCAACUCGACCCCAUGAAGUCGGAGUCGCUAGUAAUCGCAGAUCAGCAACGCUGCGGUGAAUACGUUCCCGGGCCUUGUACACACCGCCCGUCAAGUCACGAAAGUUGGUAACACCCGAAGC